GACUUGGUAGCUCAGUUGGUAGAGCAAAUGACUCUUAAUCAUGGGGUCGAGGGUGCGAGCCCCUCCCAGGUCA
Molecule: transfer RNA, 73 nt
Filed under: Parabacteroides sp. OF04-13BH
Lineage: Bacteria; Pseudomonadati; Bacteroidota; Bacteroidia; Bacteroidales; Tannerellaceae
Description: tRNA-Lys
Rfam family: tRNA
About the family: Transfer RNA (tRNA) molecules are approximately 80 nucleotides in length. Their secondary structure includes four short double-helical elements and three loops (D, anti-codon, and T loops). Further hydrogen bonds mediate the characteristic L-shaped molecular structure. tRNAs have two regions of fundamental functional importance: the anti-codon, which is responsible for specific mRNA codon recognition, and the 3' end, to which the tRNAs corresponding amino acid is attached (by aminoacyl-tRNA synthetases). tRNAs cope with the degeneracy of the genetic code in two manners: having more than one tRNA (with a specific anti-codon) for a particular amino acid; and 'wobble' base-pairing, i.e. permitting non-standard base-pairing at the 3rd anti-codon position.
Source: RNAcentral